CAGUCGCCACGGUAAUACAGAGGGUGCAAGCGUUAAUCGGAAUUACUGGGCGUAAAGCGCGCGUAGGUGGUUUGUUAAGUUGGAUGUGAAAGCCCCGGGCUCAACCUGGGAACUGCAUCCAAAACUGGCAAGCUAGAGUACGGUAGAGGGUGGUGGAAUUUCCUAUGUAGCGGUGAAAUGCGUAGAUAUAGGAAGGAACACCAGUGGCGAAGGCGACCACCUGGACUGAUACUGACACUGAGGUGCGAAAGCGUGGGGAGCAAACAGGAUUAGAUACCCCCGUAGUCCCUGUCUCUUAUAC
This 301-nucleotide ribosomal RNA is filed under the name uncultured bacterium. Its description in RNAcentral is "partial 16S ribosomal RNA". It matches the Rfam family "Bacterial small subunit ribosomal RNA", at positions 509 to 807 of the family's 1533-position model. The record is from RNAcentral.